UACGAAGGGUGCAAACGUUGCUCGGAAUCAUUGGGCGUAAAGCGCACGUAGGCGGCUUGUCAAGUCGGACGUGAAAUCCCUCAGCUCAACUGAGGACGUGCAUCCGAAACUGGCGAGCUUGAGUACUGAAGAGGAUCGCGGAAUUCCCGGUGUAGAGGUGAAAUUCGUAGAUAUCGGGAGGAACACCAGUGGCGAAGGCGGCGAUCUGGGCAGAUACUGACGCUGAGGUGCGAAAGCGUGGGGAUCAAACAGG
RNAcentral lists this ribosomal RNA (253 nucleotides) under uncultured bacterium. RNAcentral's name for it is "partial 16S ribosomal RNA". It matches the Rfam family "Bacterial small subunit ribosomal RNA", at positions 524 to 776 of the family's 1533-position model. The record is from RNAcentral.